GGAACAGCAAGAGUUUUCAGUGCAGUCACAAGAAAAUGCAUUACCAAACUGGAAGGCCACGAAGGUGAAAUUUCAAAGAUUUCUUUCAACCCCCAAGGGAACCGUCUUCUGACUGGUAGUUCUGACAAAACAGCUAGAAUCUGGGAUGCUCAGACUGGCCAGUGCCUCCAGGUCCUUGAAGGUCACACUGACGAAAUCUUUUCAUGUGCUUUCAACUAUAAAGGCAACAUAGUCAUUACAGGUAGCAAGGAUAAUACCUGUAGGAUAUGGCGUUGACUGAUGGAAGCCCAUGGGCAAGCAAACUUGCUAGCAAUUGUGAUCAAGAACUGGAGCUUCAAAAAGAGCAUGCAGCUAUUUGGAUAUUUCAUGUACUUUUUCUUUUUCUACAGGUCAACUGUUUAUACACUCUGUUUUUAACUUCACAGAUAUGACCAUUAAAACUGAUGAAGUUCUAUAAUUUCUCGAUAUUAUUUGAUGGGGAUGACAGGAAACAGAAUGGUUGGCAAAUGCCACUAGAUAUUUAGGUUGUGUUUUAGUUUUUAAUAACAUUAUGAUACUGAUAAAUGAAACCAGAGUGAUUUAACAAUGUGUCUCCUAGAUUCUACUUUGAAGGUUAUUGUUAUGUAUCUGUUGACUAAAGUUGCUGGAGAAAAUUCCUUGUGAAUUGUACAUGUGUGUUUAUGAUGUAUGUUUUUAGCAUGAUAUUGGAAAAUAAAAUGAAUUUAAUUUAAUAGCAAA
Long non-coding RNA from Galeopterus variegatus (Sunda flying lemur), 738 nucleotides. RefSeq lists it as uncharacterized. The record is from RefSeq and is a predicted model, not a curated record. Lineage: Eukaryota; Metazoa; Chordata; Mammalia; Dermoptera; Cynocephalidae. The transcript is spliced from 3 exons.